UUCCGCUCGAAAAGUCCAUUCGAAACCCUUAGACGAAACUCUCAGAAUUUUUUCCGAUCUUCCUCUUGUUGAUCCUCUCACUCGAGCAGAUCUGACGGCGAAGGCGAAGAAGCAAACGUCCGUUACUUAUGGAUCGAUUGCUCUCAGGCUGGUUUUCAUCGGAGUGUUGGCGUCGACAUUAGCUUCGUCAGGCGAUUGAUAGUUUGAUUAUCAUCUUCAGAUUCUAAAAUCAAAUCCAGUUCAACUGAAAUCGAUCUCGAUUGGAGAGGGUUAUUCAAUCAAUGAUGAUGAACUCGAACUCACGGCUUACUUCAAUGUCGUUCGGCGAAGAGAAAUAGAUGAGAAUGAUGAUAGAAUUUGGCUUUCGUUUCUCGAAGAAGAAAAAUAAGAAAGAAGUAGGUGAAUAGAGAAUUUUGAUUUCUCAAGUAUGAAGAAGAAGAAGAAGAAGAAGAAGAAGAAGAAGAGAAUGCGUGAGAGUUUAUUGAUGAUAAUAAGCAAACAAGGUUCUUGGUUCUAACCGUUGGGAUUAUAUUUAUUAAUCUAACCAUUGGGAUUAUAGAGGAAAUCUAAACUUAGAUCCGAUUUCCAUUUUACUAAUAUCAAUCUAAACUAAAGGAAAUUUCGUUUUGGUUUAUUUCCUUUUUUUAUAAUAUAUAACGGUUAGAAGAAUCAUCUUUUUUUAUUGGUUUGUUUAAGUAUGUAACUUCUUUUUGUCAAUAUUAUUGGCCUACUAAUUUUAUUCCAAAUGGUUCUAUGCUUUCUUUUAGGAUCAGGUU
This 776-nucleotide unclassified non-coding RNA is filed under the name Arabidopsis thaliana (thale cress). Lineage: Eukaryota; Viridiplantae; Streptophyta; Magnoliopsida; Brassicales; Brassicaceae. The record is from RNAcentral.